RNAcentral lists this non-coding RNA (784 nucleotides) under Pan troglodytes (chimpanzee). The record is from RNAcentral. Lineage: Eukaryota; Metazoa; Chordata; Mammalia; Primates; Hominidae.
UCUCUCUCCAGAACCUCUUCUUGGGGACCCCUCUCUGAAGCCUCUUCUUGGGAGCAGCUUUCUGGAGGAAAACGGGCAGCAUAGUUGUGCUGUUGCUGAUGGAUGGAGAUGUGGAAAUGCUUCAUGCAGGGAUCCAGGGGGUCUGCUCGCACCGUGAUGGUGACCGGCUUCCGAAUACCCAGAGACUGCCUCUUCUCUACUGUCACAACAUCAAUUUCUUCAUUCUCUGUCCGAGAAAAGAGAUCAAGAGAAGAAACACAUCCCAUGAGAAACACAAACAUAGACCCUACAGCUUUAGUGUCUAUGCUGGUGCUUGGGAAGGUCGCCUGCCCCACCUCCUUCCCUGGACUAGAAGGUUAGAUUUGUAAUCAUAGGUCGGCGAAGCUGCAGGAACUUCACAAAGGUACAAGCGACCAUUUCCAAACUACCUGCACCAGAGGCAGAGACUGGGCAGCAGAAUGUCCCAGAUAUGGGGCUCAAAACACCAGAGACCUGGAGACACCUGGACAUGCCCUUCUCAUUCACUGGCUUGAAGGUCUCUUAGGUUAACCUAACCAGGAGAGGGGCAAUUGGGAGAAAAGUCUCCUCCUGCUCCACACAUUUUGCGGCCUCCACACAGAAGUCCACCUUAAUGGAUCUCGGCCUCGCAACGGAAGAGCUCCGUUCUCAGCUUCUUUGCAUAUCAGGAAGCUUGAGCCCCUUUGUCAGGAAGGCUUCCAUUGUGUGGACAAUCGCAUUAUUUCUCCAUUAAUAAACCUGACCAUUCAGCCCUCCUGGCCCCAAA